GCGCCCGUAGCUCAAUUGGAUAGAGCAUUUGACUACGGAUCAAAAGGUUGUGAGUUCGAAUCCCGCCGGGCGCGCCA
Molecule: transfer RNA, 77 nt
Filed under: Alphaproteobacteria bacterium
Lineage: Bacteria; Pseudomonadati; Pseudomonadota; Alphaproteobacteria
Also listed under: 1 other name
Description: tRNA-Arg
Rfam family: tRNA
About the family: Transfer RNA (tRNA) molecules are approximately 80 nucleotides in length. Their secondary structure includes four short double-helical elements and three loops (D, anti-codon, and T loops).
Source: RNAcentral